UCGAUUCGUGGAAUCACUAUUGGGCUCCUUUUUCAUUUCUUCUGCUGCAUUUAAGGCCAAAUACUUUCUUUGUGCUAGUACCAAAUCGCGUAAAAGCUGAGGACUUGGUUUUUUGGCAUGCAUAAAAUUACAAAGGCCACCCCGCUGACAUUCCGAAGUUUCGUGUUGCCGGCAACAUGCCUCGCGAAAAUCAGUUACAGGAGAUAACUCGGCGUAGACUGGUCUUUGGGAAUACCAUCGGGAAUUUAAAUCAUCAAUAGCAUUUUGGGCAGACUCUUCAUACUUGAAUCUUACAUAAACAUUUCCGACUAAGUGAUCUCCAACAUUGUCACAGACGACUAAUUGUUCAACUUCACCGUAUUUUGAAAACUCACAAAACAUGUCCUCGUAGAAUGCAUCAAAUUGUUCUGCAAGUUCACGCUGCGUGAACUUUUUGCCAUUUGGUUCAUGAAUUGGGUUUUUAUACAUGUUGGGACAUAAGAUCGUUUGACUAAAAUUUGGUUUGACAUGUUUACGAGAGCAGCGUUC
Molecule: non-coding RNA, 528 nt
Organism: Schizosaccharomyces pombe (fission yeast)
Lineage: Eukaryota; Fungi; Ascomycota; Schizosaccharomycetes; Schizosaccharomycetales; Schizosaccharomycetaceae
Source: the annotation of a GenBank genome assembly